Molecule: unclassified non-coding RNA, 356 nt
Filed under: soil metagenome
Description: partial contains 5.8S ribosomal RNA, internal transcribed spacer 2, and large subunit ribosomal RNA
Rfam family: 5.8S ribosomal RNA (bases 1-120)
Source: RNAcentral
GAUGAAGAACGUAGCGAAAUGCGAUAAGUAAUGUGAAUUGCAGAAUUUAGUGAAUCAUCGAAUCUUUGAACGCAUAUUGCGCCCGCCAGCACUCUGGCGGGCAUGCCUGUCCGAGCGUCAUUUCAACCCUCGAACCCCUCCGGGGGUCCGGCGUUGGGGAUCGGGAACCCCUAAGACGGGAUCCCGGCCCCGAAAUACAGUGGCGGUCUCGCCGCAGCCUCUCAUGCGCAGUAGUUUGCACAACUCGCACCGGGAGCGCGGCGCGUCCACGUCCGUAAAACACCCAACUUCUGAAAUGUUGACCUCGGAUCAGGUAGGAAUACCCGCUGAACUUAAGCAUAUCAAUAAGCGGAGGA